Molecule: long non-coding RNA, 802 nt
Filed under: Triticum aestivum (bread wheat)
Lineage: Eukaryota; Viridiplantae; Streptophyta; Magnoliopsida; Poales; Poaceae
Description: long non-coding RNA (TAES_LNC014939)
Source: RNAcentral
UAAAGCAUGGAAGGCUUUAAGUUGUACUAUUGAGACCAUACCACCAUAUCUUGAUUUAGUUUCUUUGGAAAUCUAAAGGUCUAAGAGGAUGGUACAUGUGAGAAGCUGUGAAUCCACAACAAAAAUCUAAACUAACUUCCAAACAAACAUUUCAAGUUUGGAAGCCACAAAGAAGCAGCCCAAAUUUCUCGUUGUAGUGCAGGUUCAAGAAAAUGGGCUGAAUGACCAUCAUAGCAACAUGUAGAAGCAGCAAAAAUAUAGGCUUGGUGUGUAACUGAUCAUGAAAGAUAGCUUGGUCAGUUUCUCCAUUGUUGGCUUAUAUUGAGCAAGAACAUCAGCCUGCAGAGAAGAAAAAUGGAGGACUGCUUUAUUCUGCGGUACAUCCACAAUAGUAUAGCAAAUAAAGUAGUUAAAUGUGCGCUAAGAUGUAAGACCUUUUAGAUCACUAUUUUAGUGAUCUAAAAGGUCUUGUAUUAGUUUGAAGAGGGAGCACUUAAUAAGACUGUAGGCCAGUACAUCAAAGUAAUGCCGGCUUCCCAUUGAUUUGAUCAAACCAAUAUGACAAAGGGAAGGUGAAACUUCAGAAAACCAUAUAAAUUGACCACAAUGUCUUAAUUUAAAACUCUGAAAUGAAGUAAUAAACAUUAAGUCUGAAUGUUGUCACUAAAAAAGCAUAAAAAAGGCAGACCAGCCAGGAGUGCAUCAUAACCAGUGGUUCAUCAUGCGCAAACCAGGCAGCAGUAGCCUAAUAACUUAGACAGAAAAAAUGUAAGAAGUCAAAGCACAAGGUGGGAAAUAGGAC